This 260-nucleotide long non-coding RNA is filed under the name Lathyrus oleraceus (garden pea). RNAcentral's name for it is "Pisum sativum (pea) long non-coding RNA (PSAT_LNC008336)". Lineage: Eukaryota; Viridiplantae; Streptophyta; Magnoliopsida; Fabales; Fabaceae. The record is from RNAcentral.
AUCAUGUAUCAAUCAGAUUUUGUGGUAUCAAUAAAAUAACUUUUAUAUUACAAGUGGAAACUUAAUAUGAUAUCAUAUAGAAACUACACUCUAAUCAUCAAUUUCAUCGCUUCAACACUCAUCAUCAAAUUCACCCAAAACCAAGAACACCGUCAAUCUAACCUAGAAAGUCCAGACAAUAAACCAAGCAUUUCUUACACUAAACCCAUAAAAAAUCUAGAAUCAUCACCAACUCCACCAACAAAUUAAGCAGAAACUCA